GUCUCUCACUGGUUCUGCUUUCAAACCAGAACAACAACACAACAUCUCCCCCUUUCCUUUUUAAAAGAAGACAGGGGAGAGUUCUGGGGUUUAAAUAAAUUAAGGAAGGGUAUAAAUAUAACCAUACAAAGUUCAUACAAUAAAUACAAUGCUUUCAUAACAUACGACACGUUACUAAACUUACAGAGGAAUUUCCGAAACUAUUACAGAAAGGAUUAACUAAUCAUUGAUAUAACAUAUAAGGGAAGACUCUUCUUCACUUAAUAAACUCAUUCUAAAAUGCACGAAAUCAUUAAAGUCAUUAUGACACACAGAGGGAUUUACUUCUAAAUCAGGCAAAGUCACUGAAUGGUGAAAUGGUUUUGCCAAUUUGACUUUCCACCAGAUGUUUUCUCCUUUUUUGUGCCUUUACCCAUUUUACUAAUUACCAGCUGAACAAUACCUCAACUUAAAAUUAUUAACUUACAAAGAUAAGCUUUAUGGAAGUGACGUGAAAUAAAUCUUAAAUGAGGAAACUCUAGAAGAGGCAAGCUUAAAGGAACUCAGUAUUUGCAGUAACCAGGAACCAUAUCUAAACAAUUGAAUCUGAGAAUAAACUGGCUCUUGGUUACUGUGGUUUUUAACAAUUAAAAUUUCAUUUUGUUAAAACAAUUGUAAAAUAACAAAAGCUGGUCACGCCACUUGGCUGAUAGACUUUCUUCUCUGGUGACUUGAUAGGUGGCUAUUUCGUCUAAUGCCUGAGUCUACUCUUUAUUAUCAAACCUUGAUUAUCAUCCUUCCGCAGGGCCCUUUGCAAGAAAAUUGAUAACCAAGGUCUAAAGAGUAGUUCAAUAAACUUAUUCUUUAAAACUCAUUAAAACUGAAAAAAAUAUUAAUUAAAAUCUCCACUUAUAAUUCUAAAUUAUAAUAAAUUAACAUACAGUUUUGUGGGGACUACUCGACCCCUUGGAAGUAUAUGUGAAUGUCAAUUGCUUUUAACUUAAGCAAGGAAGAAGGCAGCAGGAAGGUUCGAGGGUACUAAAAAGAUUGGGGGGAGCCAGGGAGACGGUAGCAACCCUGUGCUUUCAAGUUUCUGCAGGCUGCUCCCUCCAAUCUCUUCAGCAGAAUAACUAAAAUUAAGGUAAGAAGAUCAGGUUUUAACAAACAAGAGUUGACAUUCAUCAUGCUUCUGCAAACUCAUAGCAAGAUAGAAAUCAAAAGGAACACCGGGUGGGGUACAGUUAGGGAAAUUGAUAGGGACCUUGAGCAGUCACUUCUGUAUAGUCAAGAAGUCAUUUUAUCUUGACUGUUUCAUUUUAUUUUGUUUUUGUUGUUUUUUUUUUUAAAUUUUAAUUUGACUGUUUAUUUUCAUUUUCAUUCAACUGUUUCUUUUAAUUUUCAUUCUGAUGAUAAUGAGUUUUCAACCAUGGGCAAUUUCCUAUUAUGUGUCCCUUCCUUUUGUAGGCAUAACAAACUUUUAAUUAUGGGGAUGGACAAACAUUUGCCCAGUGUUGCUUUUCUCCACAUUUAAAACAUGUUCUUAAUUGUUCUUUUUACUUCUUUCUUCUGAAUGGUUCCUUUUGCUUCUUUUUUUCCAAAUUUUUCAUUUUGCUUCUUAUUUGCCUGAUCAAUUAUCACAAAUGCUGAAGCCUGCAAAUCUAUGUAUUGGUAGCUACUAAUGUAGAAGAUGGGACAUGCCCUGGCUUUUCUGGCCCCUGCUGCUGAACCAAAUAGCAGCAACUGUGGUGUUUCACCCCAGAGACACUUUUGGCUAGCUGGAUGUUUCAGCGGGCGCAUGGAGAGAAGUCCAGGCAUGCCGGAGCUCAGGUGGCGGCGGGAUGGAAUUUCCUCUCAUAGAGGGUCUGCUCCUCAGGUUUCCCGCUGCCGGAGAGGCCUUAAAGGCGGUGGUGAAGGAAAGGAGUCGGUUCUGAUGGAGAGUUUAAUCCAGAGCUUUAUUCUGGCCCACAGGACUCUGAAUGUAGCAACAGAUCCAAACGGAACUACCGCAGGCCUCUGAAUCCAGUCAUUGCUGCAUCAGAACUUCCCAGACCGCGUGGCUGCUCGCCCUUUUUGCCUCGGGGAGGGGAGAACAGGAGGGGAUAGGGAGUCCACCAACCAGGUAUGCGAGAGGAUGUCUCAGGGGACAAAGGACACCUGGAUGGCCCAAUGUCCCCUGGGGGUGGAGGGCAUCCUUUGGAUCUGCCCAAUCACUCGACACACUUCUGUAAUGCCAGGAGUGACAGACAGUGCUCAGCAGGUGUUAUAAAUGAAAAUUGAUCCAGCCAAAUUAAAAAGAAAAAUAAAAUAUUUAUUUUGCAAUCAAAUUGUAUCUAGCCAGCCACAAGGAAAGAAUAGAACCGAGCCCGGGAUCGGUGCUGGGUGUGCAACAAAGAAGUUAGCCUCAGCAGACGGUCCCUCUAUGCCCACACACCAUCCUCCUGGUACAAGCAGUUUUUAUAGGGAAAAUUCCUCCUGAGGCCAGGGUUUUGGCAAUCAGUCCUUUCUUCCCAUUCAGAGUCCCAUACAUUGAUGAAAUUUCUUUUCUUGGCAUUGGGGUGGAACAAUCCAAUGUCCGUGUUGACGAAUCCCAUGAUGUAGUUACAGGAAUCUGGCAUUCCCAUGUAUCGGCCCAGAGGAUUUCCAUGACAUCAAUCUCAGGUCAUUGACACAAUGAUCAGCGCCUGGGCUCCCCGUAUCGCUUUGAGAUACGGCUCAUCUCCGGCCCAUGUCCGGCCAAGCCACAUCCAUUUACAUGUAAAAUCAAGUUUCAACAUACACCAAGUUUUGCCUGUGAGGGUGGGGGGGACUCCUAAUACAAGCGUGUGCACUCCAACAAAUAUUCAAUAUACUAGAAAUUGUGUGAAUUAUAUCUACUACUACACAUAACACAGGAGUCAGGGUGGGGAAAGGAGGAGUGAUUGACAUACCUGGGAGGACACCUUCAGGGGAGGAACCAGUGUUGGGGGUAAACUACGAAGGCACACUGCAACACUCAUACAAAGUUGACAGUCUUUUCCACAGGCUAAAAUUGAAGCCACAGGUGUUUUUGAUUUUGUGCCAAGGUCUCCAAGCCCCCUGCCAGGAUCUUGAGACAGCCAGGGCAGCCAGAGGGAUGUCCUGGGUUCCCACAUCUUCCCCUCCUCUUUGCACCAAAAACACCUCUUUGGCAGCCCUGUUCAUGGCCCACCACAUGCAUUGAAAAAGGCAUGACAAAAUGAGCAGAAGAAUUACAAGCCCUACUAAAAUGUAAAAAGCUAUUUUCAAAAGUUUCCUCCACAAGAUGAGAGGUCAAAAAAGUCAGACAUACCAUUCAACCAAGACCCAGUAACUUCUUUGACUUUUCCUAUACCUUCUUGCAAUUGCUUUAUGUUUUCAUGAAUUGAUUUUGAAUGAUCAGACAAGUUCAUGCAGCACAUCCCCUCAUGUUCUUCACACCCGUGCCCAUGUAUCAGCAAUAAAUAAUCAAUUGCUGCUCUGUUUUGAAGGUCACUCGUCUUACACUGUUGACAUCUGUUAACACGUCACUCAGUGCAAGAGAGAUGGCAGGAGCGUGCUUGCUCAGCCAGCAUCCCAUUCAUCCAAUUGAGCCAAGGCUACUCCUGAUGCUGUUUGUGGCGAGAAUAUUGCAGCCACAAUUCUCUGAGCCUUUUUCCAUGUGUGAACAUUAUCAUCACAAUUUGGAUCAUACUGUUCAACUUCUCUUUUCCCCCUACGUUUUUGUUCUUUCAAAAUUGUCAAGUCGGGUGUUAGCAAUGAAAGUUUUCCAAUGCUGCAUGGACCGCCUGUGACAUUUGCAGGGAUAGCAGGCCAAAUUCUGUCCCCAUAAAUAAAAAAAAUUCCUUGCAGCAAUUGCGCUGGAACUCGGUGGGAUGGUCUGUUUGACACCUUGGUGUAAUUGCACCAAGAAGAUGCAUUUUUAUAAAUGAAAUGGUUUGGGGUGGCAUCUAUCGUUCGGUUCUCUGCUUGUGUCACUCUUGAAAUGCCGAAUUCUAUACAAAAAUUAAUUUCCACCAAAUCAAGAAUUUCCAAUUCCUGAGGCUCAAAAGGAGCCACUGGGAGAAAUUGUGUCCAAACAUGCCAUCCGUCCACAGGAUUCGAAAUGACCUGUGAAACCUUUGGAGGGAUGUCCUUUGGCAUUGGCCAUUCGUUCACUGGCGAGCCUACCAAACAUGUUGAAAAUGGUUUUUUUUUUCGGUCUUGAGUGUGUCAAGCAGAUGGUGCCCAAACCUGCUGCAUUGGCCAAAGUUCCCCAAAUAUUUUCUUUUGGUUGGAUCAUGGGCAAAUCUGCCAAAUUGCCUAAGGCAACUGAAUUGUCUAAGGCAAUUAAAAAUAGAAUUAAACACAAAAGCAACAUCUGGACUUUGCAAUCCAAUGACACCCAAGUCCCAAAACUCUUGAUUGAAGAGAUGUUCAUGGUCUUGAUGCCUGCUCACGGCUGCGUGUUUGCCUCUGUGUUUUCGGAUUCAGUGUCUGCUUGUGUCUGGGUUCGAUAGGGCUUCACGUGUCUCGCCGAAACCCACUUUGGUCCUCGCCCUGUGGAGACAUGAGCGAAAUCUUUGCCCCAAGUUGUUAAUUUAAAAGGGCCUUCAAUCUGUCCUGAUUCUGGGUUUCUGAUCAAAACUAAAGGAUUCUUCCUUAGUUUUGCCUGUGUGCUAUUUGAAAAAUGCCUGAUGAUUGGUGGAGUGGGCUCUGAAAAAGAGCCACUUAGAAAAUUCAGCACAUACAAAGCCUUGUUCAACCACAUAUGAGGUGUUGCCUCUGCCUCCCCCCUUUUCUGUUUGUCCAAAAGGGAUUUCAGGGUGUGAUGUGUUCUUUCAAUGAUUGCUUGACCUGUGGGAAAGUGGGGAAAGCCAAAGGCAUGUCUGACACUCCACUUUUUCCAAAAUUUGUCAAGCAAUUUUCCUAUAUAAGUUGGACCAGUAUCUGGUUUUAUUUCUUGUAGCACUCCUAGUGACGCAAAUGCUUGUAAAAAAUGUUUAUAGUCAUGUUGUGUGCUCUCCCCUAUGUGUAAUGAUGCAAAAUCGCUCCUGAAAAAGUGUCAACUGAAACGUGAAUGUUUUUGAGUUUUUCAAAAGAUGGAUAUUUCAUGACAUCAGUUUGCCACAAUUAGAGACACUUCAGUCCUCUUGGAUUGACUGCUCCUGUGGAUGCAGGUGGGUGCAGAAGCUGGACAAACAGUAAUUAUUUCCCUCGCUUGGCUUUUGGAAAUGUGAAAGGAUUCCAUCAGUGCCCGUGCAUUCUGAUGAAAAAAUGCGUGGCUCAAUCUUGACUGUUAAAAAAAUGUCUGGCAAGGUCUCUGAAAUGGACAUGCCUAAUUAGUCUACAUGAGCAUUCCCGUCUGCUAAGAAUUCUGGAAGAGAGGAAUGCGCUCUGAUGUUGUCCUGGCUUGUAAGAUAAGUAUGUAUUCUAUUCACCAUCUGUUGGAGGUUGGGCAGUUUUCUUAUCUCUUCCAAGAAAAAUGUCUCCCUCAGGGAGAUAUCUUCUGUUAAUGGACCAUUUAAUGACUCACUGCAUGACUGGUAAAGUUAGAUCAGCCCAUUGUGAGAUGCUCCACACAGAGGGAGGAGCCCAGGAUCCUUACCUGCAUAAAAUCAGCAUUUUUGGGACACCAGGGCAGCCCUUUGCUGGAUUCCCAGAGGAGCAGCUCUCUUCCCCGAUGGAUCCCCAGAGGAAGACCAGGCCCAUCUACUCCAUCACCAGACCUUCAGAGAAAACGACACCCUUCUAGAGAUCACCGCUUCAGCAGCAUUUCAUCUGCCUCUCCAGGAGGAGCAGCUACCAUUUAACUGGACUAUUACCAACACCCUGACUCCUCAGGGUUUCAGGUUUCUGACUUUAUCAGUAGUUUUGUUUGUACUAAUUACAUUUUCUUUUAAAUGUGGGGGUUUUUUUUCCCCUACUAAAGAACUGUUAUUCCCAUUCCCAUAUCUUUGCCUGAGAGCCUUUUAAUUUUGAAAUUGUGGCAAUUCGGAGGGAGGGGGAUUACCUUUUCCAUUUCACAGGAGGCUCUUUCCUUCCUUCACAGACUCCUGUCUUUUCAAACCGAGACAGAUUCUGGCGCCCAACAUUGGGCUUGAGAGCAUUGAGAGGAAAAAAGGAUUAACAGUUCUUAAGUAAUUUAAAUUUUUUUGUGUGUGUGCUGAUAUAGAAACAUCUUUAAGUGCCACCAUGUGGUCUAGGGAAAUUUUCUCCCAACCUUUUAACAAUUUUUUUUUGUUCUGCUCUGCCAGUUUUCAAAGGGUUAAGAUCCACUCUAAGUGCUAAUGAUACCAUACAAUGAGUGGUGUUCCUGAUAUGCCUGUUAUAUUUAUAAGGGAAGAUUAACCUGGAUAACUACCCUGACACCUACACCAGAGACUAGGGAUGCUGCUGCAGAGCCUGACACUGCCCCAGAGACUGGAGAUGCUGCUGCUCCAGAGCCAGACCCUACCCCACAGCCUGCCUCAGAAAUUAACCACCCAGAUUGGGUGAGGGUUCUGGUUAAGGAGAUAAGAGAGAUGCUGAAGGAGUGCAUUUCCCCAGCUGGUGAGAAACCUGCCCUUUGCCUUGGAGAGGGACAGUCUAAUAGUACAGCUGUGGAACCCACAGAUGUUACAACUGUCUAGGUUCCAGCUGAACCACAAAGGCAGCCACAUCCAGCAGCAGUUGCCCCGGCAAAAAAAAAAAGAGGUCUAAUAUGAAGGCAGAGAACCUAGAUAAAUACAGGAAUGGAGGGACAUCACAACCCACAGGGAAGCCAGAGGUUGCAAUCAUCACCAAGUCCCUGAUGUACGAAAGUCUCCGUAAUCUGCACAAAGACAUUGUGUGACGUGGGCGUGAGGCUUAUACUACCUGGUUACUUCGGGUCUGGGACCUUAUGGGUACGGGCGUGCAGCUGGACAGUGGUGAGGCAAGGAACUUGGGACCCUUGACCCAGGACUCAGGUAUGAAUCAGAUUUUUGUAAGGGGGCCAGGGUCCCUUUCUCUCUGGGAGCGGCUUUUAAUGAGUGUCAGAGAAAGGUUUGUCCACAGGGAGAGAAUGCAGGAGCACCAGCAUAGAAUGCGCUGGGAGACCCCUUAGGAAGGGAUCCAACAGCUGAGGGAAGUGGCAGUAUUGGCAGUACUCUUUGAUAGACAGCAUAAUAAUGACCCCGACAAGGUCAGGUGCACAGGGCAAAUGCUGUGGAGUCUAGCAAAUCUUGGGCCAUCUCAGUACACCACUUUCAUUGCAACAAUUGACACUAACCGAGAGACAGUGGGCUCUGUUGCCAACAAACUUAGGAAUUAUGAGAGUAUGAUUAAUGGCCCAAUGCAGGCUCAUAUCUCAGCUAUGAUUGAGGAGUUCAAAGAGGAGAUGAUGGAAGAGAUGAGGAAGGUUAAUGCAGCACCUGUGAGAGUCACAAGCCCCAAAGUCAGAGCCCAACAUUCCCCAGCUAGAGAGAGAGGGUACACGCCAAGGGCUAAUCUGUGGUUCUUCCUGCGUGACCAUGGGGAAGACAUGGGGAGGUGGGAUGGGAAACCCACUUCUGUCCUGGCAGCAUGGGUGCGUCAACUCAAGGAGGGAAAGUUCCACCAAGGUGAAGGUAGCCUCAACUUCUCAUGACCAAGCUUUUGGGUACAAUCUGUCAGACUCCCUUGAAGGGGGCCUCUAGUAUGUAUGCCCAGGAAAGGAAUAAUAACCAUUGUUAGAGGGGCCCUGUCUCUAGCCAAGGAGAGGCACGGGAAAACCGGAUCUUCUGGACAUUGUGGAUCCGAUGGCCUCGCACCCACAAAAAUAUGAUGCUUUAGUUGAUACUGGCGCACAGUGUACUCUGAUACCAUCAGGACAUGUGGGGGCAGAGCCUGUUUCCAUUGCUGGUGUGACCCUGGUGGAAGCCGAGGUGAGCCUGACUGGGAAGGAGUGGAAGAAACAUCCUGUAGUGACCGGCCCAGAGGCCCCAUGCAUUUUGGGCAUAGAUUACCUUCAAAGGGGGGCAUUUUAAAUACCCAAAGGGACUCAAGUGGGCAUUUGGGGUAGCAGCUGCAGUGACAGAGGGCAUCCAGCAAUUGAACAACUUGCCUGGACUGUUGGAAAACCCGUCUGAAAUAGGACUCCUAAAGGUUGAACAGCAACACGUGCCAGUUGUGACCUUGACAGUGCACGACCGGCAGCAUCAGGCAAACCAAGGUGCUGUGAUCCCCAUCCACAGAAUGAUUCAUGAGCUGGAGAGCCAAGGAGUGGUCAGCAAAACCCACUCACCCUUCAACACCCCCAUCUGGCCUGUGUGCAAAUCUGACAAAGAAUGGAGAUUGACUGUAGACUAUUUUGGCUUAAAUGAAGUGAUUCCACCACUGGGCGCUGCUGUGCCAGACAUGCUGGAACUCCAGUACGAGCUGGAGUCCACGGCAGCAAAGUGGUAUGCCACUAUUGAUAUUGCUAAUGCAUUUUUCUCCAUUCCUCUGGCAGCAGAAUGCUGGUCUCAGUUUGCUUUCACCUGGAGGGGCAUGCAGUACACCUGGAACCAACUGCCCCAGGGGUGGAAACACAGCCCCACCGUCUGCCAUGGUCUGAUCCAGGCUGCACUGUAAAAGGGUGAGGCUCCAGAACACCUGCAAUACAUCAAUUAUAUCAUUGUGUGGGGGAGCACAGUGGCAGAAGUGUUUGAGAGAGGUGAGAGGAUCAUUCAGAUACUGCUAGAAGCUGGUUUCGCCAUCAAGAAGAGCAAAGUCAAGGGACCUGCCUGAGAGAUCCAGUUCCUGGGAGUCAAAUGGCGAGACGGACGGCACUAGAUUCCCACUGAGGUCAUCAACAAGAUCACAGCGAUGUCCCCACCAACCAGCAAAAAGGAAACACAAGCUUUCCUAGGUGCCAUAGGUUUUUGGAGAAUGCACAUUCCUGAGUAUAGCCAGAGUGUGAACCCUCUUUACCUGGUUACCCACAAGAAGAACAAUUUCCACUGGGGCCCUGAGCAGCAACAAGCUUUCACCCAGAUCAAGCAGGAGAUCGCUCAUGC
RNAcentral lists this long non-coding RNA (8951 nucleotides) under Taeniopygia guttata (zebra finch). RNAcentral describes it as "lncRNA (ENSTGUG00000027837.1)". Lineage: Eukaryota; Metazoa; Chordata; Aves; Passeriformes; Estrildidae. The record is from RNAcentral.